This 1467-nucleotide long non-coding RNA is filed under the name Homo sapiens (human). RNAcentral's name for it is "HSALNT0206226". The record is from RNAcentral. Lineage: Eukaryota; Metazoa; Chordata; Mammalia; Primates; Hominidae.
AGAAAAUCCUUACAAACCAGAUUUAGCUGGUGUCUCAAUCACCACUGUCACUUAUACCAUGUGCCCCACUUCUCAGGGACUCAUAUUUCCUGUCACCACCUCUUGUGGCUUCUGAACAGCACCUCCAGCUUUCUCUUCUGCCUCUUCCUUACAGGAGUCCUCCUCUCUCUGGAACAAAGGUGCUGCCAUAUUCCUGGCGAUAGCCGUGGUGGAAUCAGAUGGAGAAUAAACCAUUUUCCUGGAAACAAUUCUACUUUGACUAAAUGAGAAACAAAACAUAAUUUUUCAUAUUAUUUCAACAGAAUAUUGCGUGCAAAAACUUCUAGUCAUUUUUAAUAGGCUUAGUGGAGUUAGCAAUUCUCUAAGUAAAACUUACAAAAGGACAUCUCUUUGAGGCAGAGAUUGGAGGCUCUGAAGAAAGGGCACUGGUGGGUAAGGGUUGAAAUUGGAAUCAUUACUGGCCCGUUUCUUUCUCCACUGUACCAGGUGAUCUGGAGCAAGUUCAAGGGCAUUGACAUAGGGUGGAAAACAAAGAGGGUCAAACUUUUAGGGGCAGCAAACGGAGGGGCAAGGAACACACAAAGGAGAAAAACCCAAAGCCAUAGCUGUGCAAUAGAAGCCAAUUUACUUGAGGUGCUACUACAAAUGUUCAUUUUUAAGGUGAGUGGAGAGACUAGAAACUACCUUGGCAUUACAUAGCAAGGGCAUUUGGGGGGAUUUCUGUAUAAAUUUUACUAAAAUGUAAAUGGUGCAAAGAAUUUCCAUCUUAAGCCACUUGUAUUAACAAGUAUUUCAAGUUUUGGGUUUACUAAAUUUAAAAAACAUUAGAGAUACAAAUUAAUUAAUAAAAGGAUGAUUUUCUUAUUUUGGGAAAUUGAAGAAUGCCAUUUUCUGCACCUAGCAUCAGACCGAGGAUAUGAGGUGAGUCUGCCUAUGUGAAUCGCCUUGCCUGUUUUCAUUAAUGACCGUGUCCUUUGUUAAUAUUCUUACGAUGAAAUGUAUUCAGAAAUAUCAUUUCAUUUUCUGAAAGUAAAAACUUAGUCAAAAAACAGAGCCAAAUGAGACACAGUGAUGGUGAACCAUUAAUCUCUUCCAAACGGGCUCUUUAAACUCUAAUAAUAAAAAGUAUCACCUGGCUUCGCAUUUCCCCUUUGCAUAUGCAUACAUUUUGAAUGCUUUUCAGUUAUCUUGUCUAUUGUUGUUUACGUGCAUUUUAAAAUCUAUGGUGAAUAUGUGUUCUCUCUGAGACUUGUUUAUGGAAUCCUCAAGAAAAGAGUGGAAGAAGCUGUUUAUUGAAAUCUCUUGUCUCACACUUGGCACCAGGACAUGCCAGGUUUAAAACAAUGUUUGCCUGAAGGCACAUGCACAUUUCCAACUUAAAAGAUUUUGGAACUAAAAUAGAGUGUAGAUACUUAGCGAAUAUUCUCCUAAAAAGCAAUUUACCUCUAGAAGCUACUGGGUUUUAGA